This 2411-nucleotide long non-coding RNA is filed under the name Sus scrofa (pig). RNAcentral's name for it is "lncRNA (ENSSSCG00055019443.1)". The record is from RNAcentral. Lineage: Eukaryota; Metazoa; Chordata; Mammalia; Artiodactyla; Suidae.
GAGGUGGCACGUGAAGGUGAUGAUGCCCUCGGCACGCUUUCAGCCUGCCUGGUGACUGUGCAGGAAGAGAUGCAGCGCUGUCUCUUCAGCCCCUUUGACGGGGAGCUGGUGACGGGUCAUAUGGAAGUUCCCAAGCAAGGGGCUGAAUUGGAGCUGAAGCUGCUGGCCUUCACCACAGCCACAGCAAGGUGGUAUCUACACCACAGCUCAUACCCCAUCCCGGACCCGCGGAGCGAGGACUAAUAGACUUUAGAUGGAGGGCAUGUACCAAGAAGAGAGCAAAGACCAACGAUAACUUUUAGUACCAGAAAUUUGUUUUCCAAACACCUGCUCUUCUCACCUUCCUGGGAUUUGUCUUCCUCCGCUUUGAAGUCCUGACCCCUACCCCUUCUUAGCUCAGGGCCCUCUACUGGAUAGAGACCUGGGCUCUGCUCAUUCUGGGGCUGCUGCAGCUGAGAGAUCCUGGACCCUGGGAUAGAUGCCGGCAGAAGUUAAGAAUUCUUACCACGUCUUUGACUGCUUAAGAAAACUGAGUCUUCUCUAUUAAAGGAGAAAUGCCUCUGAUUAAAGACCUGAUUACUUGUGCAAUAGAGACCUAACUUUGGGGCCCACCUACAUCUCCACCUCCUGAAAAUGUGUUUAACCUGUUUUCAGGACUAAGAGACUGAUUCAGCGAGAUGGAACAAUCUUCCAACUCAACUUCUGGAUGGUGAAACUUCUUGGGGAUGCCUCGGGGCAGGAUCGAGGGAGGGCAGAAUAUGCCACCCCCAAAAUAUGCCACUUUGGAAAAGGGAUUAUUUUCAGCUGAAGACAAUCAAGGCCUGACAGACUCAGGAAGAGGUGUAUACCUUCCCUUACCAGGAAGAGAGUGAAUAUCAAAGAACUUUUGUAUCAGAAACUUAUCCGCAUGGCAUUAUCAGACACCUGCUCUUCUUACCUUUCUGGGGCUUGUCUCCUCCACUUUGAAGUUCUGACCCCUACCCCCCUUCUCCUUAGCUCAGGAUGGCAUGUAAGCCUCAAUGGCCUGACUGUCUUGGGGUCUCAUGUCUUUGGGGCUCCUGUACAUAUGAAAUUUGUUUCUCCUGUUCAUCUGUCUUAUAUCAAUUUAAAUAUUAGACUGGCCAAGGAACCUAGAAGGGAAGAAGGGAAAAGCUUUCUGCCCCUACAUCAUCAAUUCAUUUUGAGGCCUGAUUUAGGAGUCUACACCGGCCUUGUGUUCUCUCAGAAGAGAUGGCAAGGACCUUCUCAUCUGCAGGGGCUUUGGACUUCUAGCCCCUUUGGCUGAGGCCAGGUCGGAGCCUCUUAUUGGGCCCCAGCUAGAAUAAGUUUAUAUGCUUUAUUCCUUUUCUUGGGUCAUCAUUUCCCCAUCUUUUAAAAUAAGAAUUAAUUUUAGAAGAAGUGUUUUCAUGGCUCUUGGUGCCCUUUUGGUGCCUUUUAUAUUAAACCUCCUCUUUUUUUAUUAUUUUGCUAUGCCCAUAGCAUAUAGAAGUUCCCAGGCCAGGUAUCGAACCUGAGCCUACAGCAGUGACAAUGUCAAAUCCUUAACCACUGGCCACCAGAGAACUCCUGAACCUCCUCGUUUAUGUUAUUUCCUCUAAACCAAGAGUGUUCAUGGAACACAUGCUAUGCACAGAACUAGAAAUAAAAAGUAAAUUAAAUAUGUUCCUACUUUCUGGGCAUUGAAAAACUUAUUUGGACUGGGGAUAAAGAAAAAGUUUGGGAAAUUGAUGGUGGUGAUGGUUGCACAACAAUGUGAGUGGACUUAAUUCCACUGAACUGUACAUUUAAAAAAGUAUGAAAAUGGGAGUUCCUAUUGUGGCUCAGUGGGUUAUGAACCGAAAUAGUAUCCAUGGGGAUGCAGGUUUGAUUCCUGGCCUCACUCAGUGGGUUAAGGAUCUGGUGUUACUGUAAGCUGCAGUGUAGGUUGCAGAUGUGGCUUGGAUCUGGCGCUGCUGUGGCUGUGGCAUAGGCCAGCAGCUGCAGCUCUGAUAUGACCCCUAGCCUGGGAACUUCCAUAUGCUGCAGGUGUGGUCCUAAAAAAAAAAAAAAAAGAAGAAGAAGAAGAAGAAAGAAAAAAAAAAGUAUGAAAAUGCUACAGUGAGGUAUCACCUCACUCUAGUCAGAAUCACUAUCAUUAAAUAGUUUACAAAUAGGAGUUUCCAUCGUGGCACAGCGAAAACGAAUCUGACUAGGAAACAUAAGGUUGUGGGUUCGAUCCCUGGCCUUACUCAGUGGGUUAAGGAUCCGGCAUUGCCAUGAGCUGUGGUGUAGGUCGCAGACACAGCUUGGAUUUGGCGUUGCCGUGGCUCUGGUGUAGGCCAGCAGCUACAGCUCCGAUUAGACCCCUAGCCUGGGAACCUCCAUAUGCCAUGGGGGUGGCCCUAAAAAGACAAAAGACAAAAAAAAAAAAA